This 253-nucleotide ribosomal RNA is filed under the name uncultured bacterium. RNAcentral describes it as "partial 16S ribosomal RNA". It matches the Rfam family "Bacterial small subunit ribosomal RNA", at positions 524 to 776 of the family's 1533-position model. The record is from RNAcentral.
UACGUAGGGUGCGAGCGUUAAUCGGAAUUACUGGGCGUAAAGCGUGCGCAGGCGGUUUUGUAAGCCCGAUGUGAAAGCCCCGGGCUCAACCUGGGAAUGGCAUUUGGGACUGCAAGGCUGGAGUUUGGCAGAGGAGACUGGAAUUCCUGGUGUAGCAGCGAAAUGCGUAGAGAUCAUGAGGAAGACCAGUGGCGAAGGCGGGUCUCUGGACAGUUCCUGACACUGAGGCACGAAGGCCAGGGGAGCAAACGGG